GUCCACACAUAGCCUUUAUAUAGGCUUUACAAGUUUGCAAUCAUAAACCCUUAAUCUAAUGGCUAAAAAUGACUUGAGAAUGAAUGGCUAGGAUGUAGUCUUGGAUCUGGUCUUCACAAUCUUGGUGAUGGUCUCUGAUUGGCUAAAGGAAUCUGGUAAGAGAAGCUUGGAUGGUUCAGAUUGCCCAUGUUUGAAAUGGAUGGAUAAGAUGGAGCCUUGUGUGUUCCAUGGUCAAAAGGUGCUUUACCUUUUGACCAGCUACUUUCCAGCUAGCAACAGGUCACGCCCAGCUCCUCUCUUAUCCAUUCCCAACAGUCACAAGCUCAGAUAACUCCUCCUUGCUCCCUAAGUUUGCACAUCUCCAUUUCGGGUCAAUCCGGGUAAAGUGGUACGGCCUGCUCAUCCGUAUGGUUGAUGGUACGGACCUGAUGUCCGUACCUCGCCCUAUAUUUGCACAACUUCACCAAGCUUCUUCAAUAGAUGAACCAAAUCAUGUUUUGGGUCGCCCUAACUUUGCACCAGACCCAAACUUCUCCAUACUUCUCUUUUGGUGAUGGUCUCUGAUUGGCUAAAGGAAUCUGGUAAGAGAAGCUUGGAUGGUUCAGAUUGCCCAUGUUUGAAAUGGAUGGAUAAGAUGGAGCCUUGUGUGUUCCAUGGUCAAAAGGUGCUUUACCUUUUGACCAGCUACUUUCCAGCUAGCAACAGGUCACGCCCAGCUCCUCUCUUAUCCAUU
This 733-nucleotide long non-coding RNA is filed under the name Brassica rapa (field mustard). RNAcentral's name for it is "long non-coding RNA (BRAP_LNC008675)". The record is from RNAcentral. Lineage: Eukaryota; Viridiplantae; Streptophyta; Magnoliopsida; Brassicales; Brassicaceae.